Molecule: long non-coding RNA, 589 nt
Filed under: Physcomitrium patens
Lineage: Eukaryota; Viridiplantae; Streptophyta; Bryopsida; Funariales; Funariaceae
Description: long non-coding RNA (PPAT_LNC000051)
Source: RNAcentral
GUUCGUUUCUGUAAGAUAUAGGUAAAAUAGACUAAUAGUCCGUAGAAUAGUUAGUUCAAGAAGACAAAUGAUUGACUUAGUUAUUAAAAGCAGUUAAUUACAAGAUUACGGAUAAAAUCUGAAAAUCAGGAGUAAUUAUAUAGGAGUUGUAGAAGUUUGUUGGGGUACUAGAUUAUGAUAGUCAUGAGCCGGGGUAAGCUUGGUGUUACCUCUUUGUUUCUUUGUUUCUUUGUUGUUGAAGAAUAAUGGAUAGUUUCUGAAUACUGAGAAGUGAAUCUGUUGAAUAAAUCAGAGAUUGAUUUAUGAGUUAUUGAUUAUGUAAUUGGAGUACUGUGUAAUUGAAUUAUAUGAGGAGUUAUUGGAAGAUUAUGAUUGUUAUUUAUUGAGAGGUGUGUGUGUUUCGACAGAGAAAGUAUGUGAUAACAAAAAUUAUGUGAAUUCAGAUUGGUUGGAGUGAAGUCUGUUAUUCUUGGUGUUGGAUGGAAAUUAUUAUAUUUUGAGUAGUAUUUUGAAUGUGCAAGAUUGUACACUGAUGUUAUUAGUUUAUGAAAGAGUAUUGUUAUUGGGAGAAAGCAUCAUAGUAUUUCUU